GGGAUCAUUACACAAUAACAAGGCGGGCUGGACACCCCCCGCUGGGCACUGCUUCACGGCGUGCGCGGCGGGGCCGGCCCUGCUGAAUUAUUCACCCGUGUCUUUUGCGUACUUCUUGUUUCCUGGGUGGGCUCGCCCGCCCUCAGGACCAACCACAAACCUUUUGCAAUAGCAAUCAGCGUCAGUAACAACGUAAUUAAUUACAACUUUCAACAACGGAUCUCUUGGUUCUGGCAUCGAUGAAGAACGCAGCGAAAUGCGAUACGUAGUGUGAAUUGCAGAAUUCAGUGAAUCAUCGAAUCUUUGAACGCACAUUGCGCCCUUUGGUAUUCCAAAGGGCAUGCCUGUUCGAGCGUCAUUUGUACCCUCAAGCUUUGCUUGGUGUUGGGCGUCUUUUGUCUCCAGUUCGCUGGAGACUCGCCUUAAAGUCAUUGGCAGCCGGCCUACUGGUUUCGGAGCGCAGCACAAGUCGCGCUCUUUGCCAGCCAAGGUCAGCGUCCAGCAAGCCUUUUUUUCAACCUUUGACCUCGGAUCAGGUAGGGAUACCCGCUGAACUUA
RNAcentral lists this ribosomal RNA (558 nucleotides) under uncultured fungus. RNAcentral's name for it is "eukaryotic LSU rRNA". The stretch from base 205 to 358 matches the Rfam family "5.8S ribosomal RNA". The record is from RNAcentral. Lineage: Eukaryota; Fungi.